GCAGUCGAGCGAGCUUGCCUAGAUGAUUUUAGUGCUUGCACUAAAUGAAACUAGAUACAAGCGAGCGGCGGACGGGUGAGUAACACGUGGGUAACCUGCCCAAGAGACUGGGAUAACACCUGGAAACAGAUGCUAAUACCGGAUAACAACACUAGACGCAUGUCUAGAGUUUGAAAGAUGGUUCUGCUAUCACUCUUGGAUGGACCUGCGGUGCAUUAGCUAGUUGGUAAGGUAACGGCUUACCAAGGCAAUGAUGCAUAGCCGAGUUGAGAGACUGAUCGGCCACAUUGGGACUGAGACACGGCCCAAACUCCUACGGGAGGCAGCAGUAGGGAAUCUUCCACAAUGGACGAAAGUCUGAUGGAGCAACGCCGCGUGAGUGAAGAAGGGUUUCGGCUCGUAAAGCUCUGUUGGUAGUGAAGAAAGAUAGAGGUAGUAACUGGCCUUUAUUUGACGGUAAUUACUUAGAAAGUCACGGCUAACUACGUGCCAGCAGCCGCGGUAAUACGUAGGUGGCAAGCGUUGUCCGGAUUUAUUGGGCGUAAAGCGAGUGCAGGCGGUUCAAUAAGUCUGAUGUGAAAGCCUUCGGCUCAACCGGAGAAUUGCAUCAGAAACUGUUGAACUUGAGUGCAGAAGAGGAGAGUGGAACUCCAUGUGUAG
RNAcentral lists this ribosomal RNA (660 nucleotides) under Lactobacillus johnsonii. Its description in RNAcentral is "bacterial SSU rRNA". It matches the Rfam family "Bacterial small subunit ribosomal RNA", at positions 57 to 678 of the family's 1533-position model. The record is from RNAcentral. Lineage: Bacteria; Bacillati; Bacillota; Bacilli; Lactobacillales; Lactobacillaceae.